This 686-nucleotide ribosomal RNA is filed under the name Bacillus pumilus. RNAcentral describes it as "bacterial SSU rRNA". It matches the Rfam family "Bacterial small subunit ribosomal RNA", at positions 554 to 1240 of the family's 1533-position model. The record is from RNAcentral. Lineage: Bacteria; Bacillati; Bacillota; Bacilli; Caryophanales; Bacillaceae.
UUGGGCGUAAGGGCUCGCAGGCGGUUUUCUUAAGUCUGAUGUGAAAGCCCCCGGCUCAACCGGGGAGGGUCAUUGGAAACUGGGAAACUUGAGUGCAGAAGAGGAGAGUGGAAUUCCACGUGUAGCGGUGAAAUGCGUAGAGAUGUGGAGGAACACCAGUGGCGAAGGCGACUCUCUGGUCUGUAACUGACGCUGAGGAGCGAAAGCGUGGGGAGCGAACAGGAUUAGAUACCCUGGUAGUCCACGCCGUAAACGAUGAGUGCUAAGUGUUAGGGGGUUUCCGCCCCUUAGUGCUGCAGCUAACGCAUUAAGCACUCCGCCUGGGGAGUACGGUCGCAAGACUGAAACUCAAAGGAAUUGACGGGGGCCCGCACAAGCGGUGGAGCAUGUGGUUUAAUUCGAAGCAACGCGAAGAACCUUACCAGGUCUUGACAUCCUCUGACGACCCUAGAGAUAGGGCUUUCCCUUCGGGGACAGAGUGACAGGUGGUGCAUGGUUGUCGUCAGCUCGUGUCGUGAGAUGUUGGGUUAAGUCCCGCAACGAGCGCAACCCUUGAUCUUAGUUGCCAGCAUUCAGUUGGGCACUCUAAGGUGACUGCCGGUGACAAACCGGAGGAAGGUGGGGAUGACGUCAAAUCAUCAUGCCCCUUAUGACCUGGGCUACACACGUGCUACAAUGGACAGAAC